RNAcentral lists this transfer RNA (72 nucleotides) under Camelus bactrianus (Bactrian camel). It matches the Rfam family "tRNA". Rfam says of the family: Transfer RNA (tRNA) molecules are approximately 80 nucleotides in length. Their secondary structure includes four short double-helical elements and three loops (D, anti-codon, and T loops). Lineage: Eukaryota; Metazoa; Chordata; Mammalia; Artiodactyla; Camelidae. The record is from Rfam by way of RNAcentral. RNAcentral also lists the same sequence under 2 other names.
GAGGGUAUAGCUUAGUGGCAGAGCACAUCCUUAGCAUGCACAAGGUCCUGGGUUCAUUCCCCAGUACCUCCA